This 208-nucleotide ribosomal RNA is filed under the name uncultured bacterium. RNAcentral's name for it is "partial 16S ribosomal RNA". It matches the Rfam family "Bacterial small subunit ribosomal RNA", at positions 568 to 774 of the family's 1533-position model. The record is from RNAcentral.
CUCGUAGGCGGCUCGGUAAGUUGGGUGUGAAAACUCCAGGCUCAACCUGGAGAGGCCACUCAAUACUGCCGUGGCUAGAGUUCGGUAGAGGAUCGUGGAAUUUCUGGUGUAGCGGUGAAAUGCGCAGAUAUCAGAAGGAACACCAACGGCGAAGGCAGCGAUCUGGGCCGAUACUGACGCUGAGGAGCGAAAGCAUGGGGAGCAAACA